UACGUAGGGUGCGAGCGUUGUCCGGAAUUAUUGGGCGUAAAGGGCUCGUAGGCGGUUUGUCGCGUCGGGAGUGAAAACUCAGGGCUUAACCCUGAGCCUGCUUCCGAUACGGGCAGACUAGAGGUAUGCAGGGGAGAACGGAAUUCCUGGUGUAGCGGUGAAAUGCGCAGAUAUCAGGAGGAACACCGGUGGCGAAGGCGCCACUCUGGGCCGGUACUGACGCUGAGGAGCGAAAGCGUGGGGAGCGAACAGG
RNAcentral lists this ribosomal RNA (253 nucleotides) under uncultured bacterium. Its description in RNAcentral is "partial 16S ribosomal RNA". It matches the Rfam family "Bacterial small subunit ribosomal RNA", at positions 524 to 776 of the family's 1533-position model. The record is from RNAcentral.